CCUACGGGAGGCAGCAGUCGAGAAUCAUUCACAAUGGGGGAAACCCUGAUGGUGCGACGCCGCGUGGGGGAAUGAAGGUCUUCGGAUUGUAAACCCCUGUCAUGUGGGAGCAAAUUAAAAAGAUAUUACCACAAGAGGGAGAGACGGCUAACUCUGUGCCAUCAGCCUCGGUAAUACAGAGGUCUCAAGCGUUGUUCGGAAUCACUGGGCGUAAGGCGUGCGUAGGCUGUUUCGUAAGCCGUGUGUGAAAGGCGCGGGCCCAACCCGCGGACGGCACAUGAUACUGCGAGACUAGAGUAAUGGUGGGGGAACCGGAAUUAUCGGUGUAGCAGUGAAAUGCGUAGAUAUCG
RNAcentral lists this ribosomal RNA (350 nucleotides) under uncultured bacterium. Its description in RNAcentral is "partial 16S ribosomal RNA". It matches the Rfam family "Bacterial small subunit ribosomal RNA", at positions 338 to 699 of the family's 1533-position model. The record is from RNAcentral.